RNAcentral lists this ribosomal RNA (497 nucleotides) under uncultured bacterium. Its description in RNAcentral is "partial 16S ribosomal RNA". It matches the Rfam family "Bacterial small subunit ribosomal RNA", at positions 28 to 507 of the family's 1533-position model. The record is from RNAcentral.
GACGAACGCUGGCGGCGUGCCUAAUACAUGCAAGUUGAGCGCUGAAGGUUGGUACUUGUACCAACUGGAUGAGCAGCGAACGGGUGAGUAACGCGUGGGGGAUCUGCCUUUGAGCGGGGGACAACAUUUGGAAACGAAUGCUAAUACCGCAUAAAAACUUUAAACACAAGUUUUAAGUUUGAAAGAUGCAAUUGCAUCACUCAAAGAUGAUCCCGCGUUGUAUUAGCUAGUUGGUGAGGUAAAGGCUCACCAAGGCGAUGAUACAUAGCCGACCUGGGAGGGUGAUCGGCCACAUUGGGACUGAGACACGGCCCAAACUCCUACGGGAGGCAGCAGUAGGGAAUCUUCGGCAAUGGACGAAAGUCUGACCGAGCAACGCCGCGUGAGUGAAGAAGGUUUUCGGAUCGUAAAACUCUGUUGGUAGAGAAGAACGUUGGUGAGAGUGGAAAGCUCAUCAAGUGACGGUAACUACCCAGAAAGGGACGGCUAACUACGUG